Molecule: long non-coding RNA, 2949 nt
Filed under: Actinia tenebrosa (Australian red waratah sea anemone)
Lineage: Eukaryota; Metazoa; Cnidaria; Anthozoa; Actiniaria; Actiniidae
Description: uncharacterized LOC116299326
Source: RNAcentral
ACUUUAGAGGUUUCAUUUUUAGUUCAAAGCUGAUUCAUUAUUUCAACUGGCAUAACAUUUCAAUACUACUAGGACUUGAUAUAUUGGAAUUAAGAUUAAAAAUCAGGAAUGUCUGUUUUAAGUUCAAGGUGCCAAAAUUUUUAACAGUGGUUAAAUGACUUAAUCCAUGAAAUAGUAAGGAAUUAUUACCGCUUGUGUUUUACUUUAAAAUUUACCUAUGAGCUCAAAGCAAGACUGUUAUUUUACAGGGCUCAGGAUUCUUCCAGGAGGAAAAGAUUAUGAUCCCUGUGUAUCGUACUGUGGUCUGAACGGUCUGUCUUGUGCACCACCUGUUGCCACUCGACUUCUUGAAUAGUUAUCAUGAGAAUCAUAAUCAGCAGCUUGUCGUUGGCGAAUAUGAGCUGCCAUGUCUUCCUGCCCUCCAGCUGGUCCAUUACUUACUGAGUCCUGGUAGUACUGGUAUGAUUGUGGUGCUGCUGCCGAAGCUAUAUAAGAGAUCAGACAUUUUCUGUUUAGUAUUAGAACAAUUUUGUGCUCCUGUGACCUAGAUACCCACAACUGGGGUCCCAAUACAUUUAAUCCAAUUUGUCCAGAUACCAUGCUGUUGCCUUCAAACUAUAGUUUCAUUUGGGUCAGUGUGUAUACAUUUAUUGUAUUGACAAAAAAAAGGCUUGACUUGAAACAACUGUUUGAAUACAAUAGAGCGUACGGGUAACUCCGAUAUCUGCUGUUUUUGUUAAUCAAAUUUAUAUCAGGGCUAAAAACAAGAGCUGGUGAGUCCACUAGCUUUAACUUGGUUAUACUUUAUUUCUGGCUCAAAGAUAUUGCUCAAAAUGACCAGCAUGGCAAAGAUUUGAUUAACCAAGUUCCAAUUUGUAGACGGCUAUUGUCCAAUAACCGGCCAUUAUUUUUAGCCCUUCAAAAUAUCCGUUCGAGGUAUUGAUACUCCAGUUUGGAGAUCUCUGUUGCUCAGAAUUAGCCUCAAUUUUGUGGAGAAAAUUCAUGCGUUCCAGUGAAGGUCCGUGGAAUUUUAAAGCAUUAGUAUAUUGAAGUUGUGCAUUGUUGUGCAUUCUUUACUUUGACAAUGGUAUUUGUGAAUGCUUGGGUGCUGAUUUGAGGCUAACCCUGAGUAAAUGAGUCAAUCAAGGAGCUUAGUGGUAAUUUGGAACUCAAAACUGGUCAAUACGUAAACAGUGGAGUAACUAGGGGUCUUGCAGGGGAGGUGCACAGGCAUGAUUUGCAGAACCGGGAAAAAAAAACAAAAAAAAAACAGAACAAAAUAAAAAACAAGGGAAUAAUGGAUGAGUGAUUCUUAAAAAUGCUACAAUAUGCAGAUGGAAAGUGGUCUUCAUUUAAUCAAAAAACAUUUACAUGCAAUUUUAAAGUAAAAGGAGAUAGAUGAGCAGACCUUAAGCUCUUAUGGGGGGAUUGUACGUGCUCCCUGUGCUCCCCCCUGGUUACGGCCCUGAUAAAGUUUUAUGAAAUUCAUAUUUUGUUUUGGGUUUGUUUCAGCAGUGUUGUCCAUCGCAUAGCUUUGGAAAACCAAAGCAAUUAUUAUUAUUGCAGAUACAGGGUGAGGUUGUAGGGUGCCUGUGCAUCCCCCUUUCUAGCUUAGGCUCGCUAAAAUGGUGCAUAGAUCUUCAUAAUUUUGUGAAUCCCAGAUAUGCCCAUGCAAUGCAUUUCAUCAUAGAUGAACUAUUCGUGUUUAAAAAGACCGGUAACGUCACUAGAAUUGUCAAAAGUUCUAACCUGCACUGGUUGCUUCUUUAAGUGAUACUAGAGCUUCUCGUACAGCUUGUCCAAACAUCUCGGCAUCAUCUCGGCUUUGGAAAUUUAACCCAUAAACUUGCCGUUGAUCACGCCAUUGGUGGAAGGUUGGAGUAGCUUCAUUGUACUUUAGACCACGAGCCAAAGCACAGUUUAUGACCACCUUUGCAAAAGAAGAACUCCCAAAAUUAAUGCUUCAAUUUAAAAGAAGUUGUUAGAAGUAAGAAUAGCUUCCUUCCACAUUUUCAUUCCCACUCUUUUUCAAUGUUUUCUUCAUUCAUUCUUUUGAUUCACGCACAACAAUAAUUCCACUCAUUCAUUCAUUCAUCAAUUCAUUCCCUUUGUCAGUCUACUCAUUUCAUUACCUCUUCCAAUCUUAAUUUAAUCAAUACUUUUCUAAUGUGUGCCAUUAUUUCCUUUAUCCAUUGUUUAUCAUUCUUUAUCAUUUAAUUCUGCAAAGAACAUGCGUGAUACGGAAAAAGACCAUGCCUUAUAUGAGGCCGUAUCAGCACUUCUCAUCUGCUCGCGCUGGUUACGAUAGGGUUUAGACAGAGUUUGAGCACUUCUUUGCAGAAUAAAUGAUAAACAACUUAUCAGUCGGCUAAGCGUCUGACAAAGCUUUGCAUUUUUAUUACUCUUGUAUACACUUGUAUGCUCCAUGACUCGUAAAAAUACACAGCCGUAUCAGAUGCUUAGCCGACUGAUAACCUCUAUUAAUUUUUUUAAUGUUCACAUGUUCAUAUUUUAUUUUCAACUAUCCAUUUAUCCAUUCAAUAUUACACAUAAUUUCACUUAUUCAACAGCAUACAACACACCAUUAGCAUAAUAUUUUCCCAUUUCAGACCACAUGUCAUUCUCUUAAGAAAAAGAUGGUUUGUUUGAGUUGUAUCCAUAUUCAUGUGUCUUCUUAUGUGCAACCGUUUAAACAAAGAAAUAAUACUCUAGAAAUGACAGUGGUCUGAAAUGGAAAUACAGUACAUUACACUAGAAAUCUAUUAACAAGACAGUGUUAGUCAAAUCCAACUAGUAGUCUAUCAUCAAUGCUGCGUUCUGAUUGGAUGAGCGACUACUUCUGAUUGGAUGAGCUACUACUAUACUAGCCAAGAACUUAUAUGUAUAUACUAAGCAAGAAGUACCAGCUUUGAAAACCAAAACAUUAAAUAAUUUAACUUUAAUUCAAAA